UACACACCGCCCGUCACACCACGAGAGUUUGUAACACCCGAAGUCGGUGAGGUAACCUUCAUGGAGGCCAGCCGCCUAAGGUGGGACAGAUGAUUGGGGUG
This 101-nucleotide ribosomal RNA is filed under the name uncultured bacterium. RNAcentral describes it as "partial 16S ribosomal RNA". It matches the Rfam family "Bacterial small subunit ribosomal RNA", at positions 1384 to 1482 of the family's 1533-position model. The record is from RNAcentral.